GACGAACGCUGGCGGCGUGCUUAACACAUGCAAGUCGAACGGUAAGGCCCUUCGGGGUACACGAGUGGCGAACGGGUGAGUAACACGUGGGUGAUCUGCCCUGCACUUCGGGAUAAGCCUGGGAAACUGGGUCUAAUACCGGAUAGGACCACUGCCUACCUGGGUGGUGGGGGAAAGCUUUUGCGGUGUGGGAUGGGCCCGCGGCCUAUCAGCUUGUUGGUGGGGUGAUGGCCUACCAAGGCGACGACGGGUAGCCGGCCUGAGAGGGUGACCGGCCACACUGGGACUGAGAUACGGCCCAGACUCCUACGGGAGGCAGCAGUGGGGAAUAUUGCACAAUGGGCGCAAGCCUGAUGCAGCGACGCCGCGUGAGGGAUGACGGCCUUCGGGUUGUAAACCUCUUUCAGCACCGACGAAGCGCAAGUGACGGUAGGUGCAGAAGAAGGACCGGCCAACUACGUGCCAGCCGCCGCCGUAA
Molecule: ribosomal RNA, 478 nt
Filed under: uncultured bacterium
Lineage: Bacteria
Description: partial 16S ribosomal RNA
Rfam family: Bacterial small subunit ribosomal RNA
Source: RNAcentral